Molecule: ribosomal RNA, 274 nt
Filed under: uncultured bacterium
Lineage: Bacteria
Description: partial 16S ribosomal RNA
Rfam family: Bacterial small subunit ribosomal RNA
Source: RNAcentral
AUACGGAGGGGGCUAGCGUUGUUCGGAAUUACUGGGCGUAAAGCGUACGUAGGCGGACUGAUCAGUUGGGGGUGAAAUCCCAGGGCUUAACCCUGGAACUGCCUUCAAUACUGCCAGUCUUGAGAUUGGAAGAGGUGAGUGGAAUUCCUAGUGUAGAGGUGAAAUUCAUAGAUAUUAGGAGGAACACCAGUGGCGAAGGCGGCUCACUGGUCCAAUACUGACGCUGAGGUACGAAAGCGUGGGGAGCAAACAGGAUUAGAUACCCUAGUAGUCC